Molecule: ribosomal RNA, 482 nt
Filed under: uncultured bacterium
Lineage: Bacteria
Description: partial 16S ribosomal RNA
Rfam family: Bacterial small subunit ribosomal RNA
Source: RNAcentral
CUUUCCCUCUUUCUUCAUGCCUUACACAUGCAAGUCGAACGGUAACAGGUCUUCGGAUGCUGACGAGUGGCGCACGGGUGAGUAAUACAUCGGAACGUGCCCAGACGUGGGGGAUAACGAGGCGAAAGCUUUGCUAAUACCGCAUACGAUCUAAGGAUGAAAGCAGGGGACCGCAAGGCCUUGCGCGUGUGGAGCGGCCGAUGGCAGAUUAGGUAGUUGGUGGGAUAAAAGCUUACCAAGCCGACGAUCUGUAGCUGGUCUGAGAGGACGACCAGCCACACUGGGACUGAGACACGGCCCAGACUCCUACGGGAGGCAGCAGUGGGGAAUUUUGGACAAUGGGCGAAAGCCUGAUCCAGCAAUGCCGCGUGCAGGAUGAAGGCCUUCGGGUUGUAAACUGCUUUUGUACGGAACGAAAAGGCUCUGGCUAAUACCUGGGGCACAUGACGGUACCGUAAGAAUAAGCACCGGCUAACUACGUG